This is a long non-coding RNA of Dipodomys spectabilis (banner-tailed kangaroo rat), 103 nucleotides long. RefSeq lists it as uncharacterized. NCBI's taxonomy places the organism in Eukaryota, Metazoa, Chordata, Mammalia, Rodentia, Heteromyidae. The record is from RefSeq and is a predicted model, not a curated record. The transcript is spliced from 3 exons.
AGGUGAAGGAAACAUUUUUUUCCCUUUCAUUUACUAGGGCUACUUACUGAAUAUUGUAAAAAUGAAAUACGUUACCAACUUUUGUAAACAAAAAACUAUUGUC